UACGUAGGGGGCGAGCGUUGUCCGGAAUCAUUGGGCGUAAAGAGCUCGUAGGCGGUUCAGCAAGUCGGCUGUGAAAUUCCGAGGCUCAACCUCGGAACUGCAGUCGAUACUGCUGUGACUCGAGUCCGGUAGAGGAGAAUGGAAUUCCAGGUGUAGCGGUGAAAUGCGUAGAUAUCUGGAGGAACAUCGGUGGCGAAGGCGGCAUCCUGGACCGGUAUUGACGCUGAGGCGCGAAAGCCAGGGGAGCAAACGGG
Molecule: ribosomal RNA, 254 nt
Filed under: uncultured bacterium
Lineage: Bacteria
Description: partial 16S ribosomal RNA
Rfam family: Bacterial small subunit ribosomal RNA
Source: RNAcentral